RNAcentral lists this ribosomal RNA (298 nucleotides) under uncultured soil bacterium. RNAcentral's name for it is "partial 16S ribosomal RNA". It matches the Rfam family "Bacterial small subunit ribosomal RNA", at positions 26 to 316 of the family's 1533-position model. The record is from RNAcentral.
AGAGUGAACGCUGGCGGUAGGCCUAACACAUGCAAGUCGAACGGCAGCACAGUAGGAGCUUGCUCUUACGGGUGGCGAGUGGCGGACGGGUGAGGAAUACAUCGGAAUCUACCUUUUGGUGGGGGAUAACGUAGGGAAAACUUACGCUAAUACCGCAUACGCCCUUCGGGGGAAAGCCGGGACCAGCAAUGGCCUGGUGCUGAUAGAUGAGCCGAUGUCGGAUUAGCUAGUUGGUGAGGUAAUGGCUCACCAAGGCGACGAUCCGUAGCUGGUCUGAGAGGAUGAUCAGCCACACUGG